AUUGAACGCUGGCGGCAUGCUUUACACAUGCAAGUCGAACGGUAACAGGCCUUCGGGUGCUGACGAGUGGCGAACGGGUGCGUAAUGCAUCGGAACGUGCCCAGAGGUGGGGGAUAACGCAGCGAAAGCUGUGCUAAUACCGCAUGUGAUCUGAGGAUGAAAGCGGGGGACCAAGCAGCAAUGUUUGGCCUCGCGCCUCUGGAUCGGCCGAUGUCAGAUUAGGUAGUUGGUGGGGUAAAGGCCUACCAAGCCGACGAUCUGUAGCUGGUCUGAGAGGACGACCAGCCACACUGGGACUGAGACACGGCCCAGACUCCUACGGGAGGCAGCAGUGGGGAAUUUUGGACAAUGGGCGCAAGCCUGAUCCAGCAAUGCCGCGUGCGGGAAGAAGGCCUUCGGGUUGUAAACCGCUUUUGUACGGAACGAAAAGGCUCUGGCUAAUACCUGGGGCUGAUGACGGUACCGUAAGAAUAAGCACCGGCUAACUACGUG
RNAcentral lists this ribosomal RNA (492 nucleotides) under uncultured bacterium. RNAcentral's name for it is "partial 16S ribosomal RNA". It matches the Rfam family "Bacterial small subunit ribosomal RNA", at positions 30 to 507 of the family's 1533-position model. The record is from RNAcentral.